Molecule: ribosomal RNA, 518 nt
Filed under: bacterium T-1-0-9F
Lineage: Bacteria
Description: bacterial SSU rRNA
Rfam family: Bacterial small subunit ribosomal RNA
Source: RNAcentral
AUCCAGCCAUGCCGCGUGUGUGAAGAAGGCCUUUUGGUUGUAAAGCACUUUAAGCGAGGAGGAGGAGCUCUUGGUUAAUACCCAAGAUGCUUGGACGUUACUCGCAGAAUAAGCACCGGCUAACUCUGUGCCAGCAGCCGCGGUAAUACAGAGGGUGCAAGCGUUAAUCGGAUUUACUGGGCGUAAAGCGCGCGUAGGUGGCCAAUUAAGUCAAAUGUGAAAUCCCCGAGCUUAACUUGGGAAUUGCAUUCGAUACUGGUUGGCUAGAGUAUGGGAGAGGAUGGUAGAAUUCCAGGUGUAGCGGUGAAAUGCGUAGAGAUCUGGAGGAAUACCGAUGGCGAAGGCAGCCAUCUGGCCUAAUACUGACACUGAGGUGCGAAAGCAUGGGGAGCAAACAGGAUUAGAUACCCUGGUAGUCCAUGCCGUAAACGAUGUCUACUAGCCGUUGGGGCCUUUGAGGCUUUAGUGGCGCAGCUAACGCGAUAAGUAGACCGCCUGGGGAGUACGGUCGCAAGACU